RNAcentral lists this ribosomal RNA (487 nucleotides) under uncultured bacterium. RNAcentral describes it as "bacterial SSU rRNA". It matches the Rfam family "Bacterial small subunit ribosomal RNA", at positions 31 to 507 of the family's 1533-position model. The record is from RNAcentral.
CGAGAACGCUGGCGGCGUGGAUUAGGCAUGCAAGUCGAACGGUAUCAUCCUUUCGGGGGUGAGAGAGUGGCGAACUGGUGAGUAACACGUAGGUUAUCUACCCUCAAGACGGGGACAACCCAGGGAAACUUGGGCUAAUACCGGAUGUGAGCAACUUUUAGUUGUUUGAAAGGUGGCGUAAGCUGUCGCUUGGGGAUGAGCCUGCGUCCUAUUAGUUAGUUGGUGAGGUAACGGCUCACCUAGGCAAUGAUAGGUAGGCGGCCUUAACGGGUGGUCGCCCACACUGGGAUUGAGAUACGGCCCAGACUCCUACGGGAGGCAGCAGUCGAGAAUAGUCUACAAUGGUCGGAAGACUGAUAGUGCGACGCCGCGUGAACGAUGAAUCCCUUCGGGGUGUAAAGUUCUUUUAUAUGUGAGCAGUGCUUCUUAUAUUAACAGUAUGGGGAGAGAGAUAUUAGCAUAUGAAUAAGCAACGGCUAACUCCGUG